Molecule: ribosomal RNA, 253 nt
Filed under: uncultured bacterium
Lineage: Bacteria
Description: partial 16S ribosomal RNA
Rfam family: Bacterial small subunit ribosomal RNA
Source: RNAcentral
UACGGGGGGGGCAAGCGUUGUUCGGAAUUACUGGGCGUAAAGGGCUCGUAGGCGGCCAACUAAGUCGGACGUGAAAUCCCUCGGCUUAACCGGGGAACUGCGUCCGAUACUGGAUGGCUUGAGUUUGGGAGAGGGAUGCGGAAUUCCAGGUGUAGCGGUGAAAUGCGUAGAUAUCUGGAGGAAUACCGGUGGCGAAGGCGGCAUCCUGGACCGGCAUUGACGCUGAGGAGCGAAAGCUAGGGGAGCAAACGGG